Molecule: long non-coding RNA, 3163 nt
Organism: Sapajus apella (tufted capuchin)
Lineage: Eukaryota; Metazoa; Chordata; Mammalia; Primates; Cebidae
Exons: 3
Source: RefSeq, a predicted model, not a curated record
GAAAAGAGCUGAAGUAAUGCCUAUGGCUUCACUGAUGAAGACCACACUCCCCAGCCUCCUUAUAACCAACCUGUCUGUUCAAAUCCAUUCUCUUCAAGAAAAUGAGAACAAUAUUUAUGUGUGCAGCUUCCAGCCCAUCAUCCAGUUCCCUGUCUUCUGAAAGGUGUACCCUGAUUUUGCUCUGUGGAAUCAUCCUUGUCCUGUCUUUCAGCCCAUGUCCUUCUGCUCUUUCUCUUCAAACUUCCUUAACAUACCUUGGCUUAGUUGUUCUGCUGAUUUUCUAAAAGAAGAAGCUCCUUUGAAUAACAUGGAGGAGAGUUAAGGUAGGUUUUAAUAAGUGCUGCUUUUAUGAGUCUUUGCACUAGCUGACGGAUGCAUGGUAUGACACAACACCUGACAAGAAUGAGUACACCCGCUACUCCUACGAUAGAGGUAAGAAUUGAGGCUAUGAUUUCUUUUUGUUUAUGGAACCAUUUUGUUGGACUCCAAUUUCAUCUAAAUAGAUGUGAGAGCUGGAAGACCCAUGAGGGACUUCUCUUGCCUUACAGUGUUGUAUAUUUUCUUCUUCUGGUGAAUGAAAUGCCAGGAUGAAAGGCAUAGCCAACUGGACUAGAGCACAAAUGCCACUCUGGUUCCUUGGCAGACUGUUCAAUAAAGGUCCACCAUAAUACCACCAUAUGUCUUCUUGGGGAUGAACAAAGGCUGAGUGACUGGUUAGUUCUAGAAAAGUCUUAAGCUCACUGCAUCUCUUUAGGUUUCCAAGGAACACGGUUUCCUCCUCGUCAUGAGAGACAUGAAGUGAACUUAGUGUCGGGAGACAGAAGCUGGAUGGCCCUGGGGGCUGACCCGCAGGGUGUUAAACUUCAGGAUAUAGCAGAGAGAGAGCUUGGCAUGACUUUGUUCCCCAGGCUGUAGGAUCCUGUAAAAGAGCUACUAUAUAUCCCAUGCAUCCACUAGGACCAUCCUAGUGGAAAGGGGAUAAUCUGGGCCUCUGGUCUGCCAUGCACACAAGCGUAACAGUUGUUUUUGUUUAAUGUAUGGACAGAAUAUUGGAUUUAUUCCAACCAGGCAUUUGUAUCUUUAUAUCCUGUCUCUAUUGCUAAAGUUUGUUUUAAAUCAUUUACUUCUACAAUGUCUACAUCCUGUCAUUGCAUAUAGAAUGAGUGACAGUUUGAUCAGAAGAAAGUCAAAAAGGAGAAUAAGAGGAAGGGAGUGAAGAGGAUAUUUCAAAAGACCCUAUGAGGCCUGUGUUGGCCAAAUUGGCUUCUGUGCCGUAGAAACGAUCUAAAGUGGGGUCGGGAUCAGUAGACGUAGAGGUAAGAACAGAGAGCUUUACUGGAUUGCAUUGGUACUGUUCACAAGUAGAGAGAAUGCUUUCUUUGAUGAAAUGGAGGUGUGGUUUUAAAGAGGUGCAGUCCUUUGAGGAAGUCCAUCCUUGUUCCUCAGUAGUCCAUAGGACAUCAUCCCAGGAGGGACAGUACCAUCCUGGAAACUUGUCCUUGUUUAGUUCCCAAAAUUUGAGAAAUGUCGGGGACUUGGUUUCUAUGAAGCAAGGGUUGCAGAGGUUGGAAGUUACUUCAGAAGGACAGAGAUAUUUUUCAAAGAAGGCCUCUUGUCUUUGGUUUUGGAGAUCCCCACAGGUAUGGCCAGACAGGCAUCAAAUGUGAUUGUCUGAGGAAAAGGUGACCUGGUUACAUUAAUAACAAGGUGGUCAGCGGUAGAACAAGGAAAGAAGAAGGAGUAAUAAAUAAAAGAGGGUUAAACUUUACUUAGCUUUAGUUUGGUAGAGUUUCCCCCUGGUACUAUGGCCCAUGACUCCAAAGGAGGUGGUGCUUUCUUGACUCCACUUUGAUAGGUCCAUCUUCUUUCUGCUGUCUGGGUUGCAGUUUUUGUGGUUAGGAGCUCUAGAUAACAUUCUUCCCAGACGGGUUAGAGCUUUUCCUGCUCUCCAGCUUUUGACAAGGAUGUGGUCCCCAGGCUGAUGUUGGUGUACUGGAAACUGUAGGGGUGGCACCUGUGCCAAAAGACUUUUAGUUCUGAGGCAAAAGAAAGUGGAAGAUAAACCAAGUAUAGAAUUUCUCAGAAACUGAUCUUUUGUUUCAAAUGUAGGAAGAUCAGUAGUAGAACGUAGAUAAGACAAUGCAUAAGGCAUCUUAUAAGGGGAUAGGUCUAUGUCUUUUGAGGGGGCAGUUCAGAUUCUCAAUAGGGUGAUAGACCUUUCUACUUACUCCGAUGAAGAUGAGUGCCAGGGAGCAUAGUAUUCCCAUGCUAUAUCUAGUACCUGGACUAAUUUCUUAAUGACAUGUGCAGUGAAAUUAGUCCUAUUAUCUGAAUCAAUGUUUUUUUUCAUUAAUCUAAACCUGGGUAUAAUAUUUUCAACUAAUGCCUGACUACAUUAUUAGCAGUUGUACUUGAAAAGAGAAUAGCUUCUACCUAAUGAGUAAGGUGAUGUACUUUUAAUAGUAGAUAAUUUAGAUGACUAAUUCAUGGCAUUUCUGUGUAAUCAAUUUUGGAAUGGUCUUAAGCCUGGACUCCUUCUCCCAAGAGGUAUCUUUUUAUAGCUUGUUUUUUAGUUUUCUUAUAUAGUAAGCAACUAUCUGUAAAUUGUGUGGCCAGGGUAUAAAUUCCUAUACACCCAUAAACUCUGAAACUGCAUCACGCAUAGCCUGUGUCCCCCAAUGGGUCCCUUGAUGCAGUUGGAACAAAAUUUCCCUCAUAAGAGGUUUGGAUAAUACUUUUUUUCUGGUCUGGCAAUAUCCAUUUUACUUCUGAAUUCUCUUUAGUACCUAUUUUUAUUAGUUUUUAGACCAAAGAAUGCCAAACACCAUUUUAUAUUUGACAGUGCUUUCUAUAUGAUUUUAUACUAGAUAAGCUAAAUUUCACCUUUAUAUUAGUGUGCUGUUAAUGUUAAACUCAAUUUUAAUAAAACCGUGUAGACAUAUUAUCCAAUUUUAUUGUCUGACCAGAAGGUAAGAUUUUUAUAGAUUCUUUUUAACCCUUAAUUUUUUUAAAAAAAGAACAGCUUAGUGCUUUAAGAAAAACUUUUUGUGCUUUUAUUUUAAUUUCCAGUUUACAGCAAAACUGGAUGAUACCCCUUUAACUUUGGCCAUUAUGUUUACACACAUAAUUUACUUUACAAUUAACAUUUCAAAACUUGCUUAAA